AUUGAACGCUGGCGGAACGCUUUACACAUGCAAGUCGAACGGUAGAGGGGGCAACCCCUCGAGCGUGGCGAACGGGUAAGUAAUAUAUCGGACCGUGCCCAGUCGUGGGGGAUAACGUAGCGAAAGCUACGCUAAUACCGCAUACGAUCUAAGGAUGAAAGCGGGGGAUCGCAAGACCUCGCGCGAGUGGAGCGGCCGCUAUCAGAUUAGGUAGUUGGUGGGGUAAAGGCUCACCAAGCCAACGAUCUGUAGCUGGUCUGAGAGGACGACCAGCCACACUGGAACUGAGACACGGUCCAGACUCCUACGGGAGGCAGCAGUGGGGAAUUUUGGACAAUGGACGCAAGUCUGAUCCAGCCAUUCCGCGUGCAGGAUGAAGGCCCUCGGGUUGUAAACUGCUUUUGUACGGAACGAAAAGGUCUCUCUUAAUACGGGGGGCUCAUGACGGUACCGUAAGAAUAAGCACCGGCUAACUACGUGCCAGCAGCCGCCGUAA
Molecule: ribosomal RNA, 496 nt
Filed under: uncultured bacterium
Lineage: Bacteria
Description: partial 16S ribosomal RNA
Rfam family: Bacterial small subunit ribosomal RNA
Source: RNAcentral